AAAAAAUAUUUACUGAAAUUUUCAAUAUUUUCUUUUUAUUUUAUAUUAUAGCAUUGGAGAAUUUAUCUAAUGAAAAGAAAAUACUAAAAAGCUAACCGAUUCCCAGAGCACUUCUGGCAAGCUGAAACAAUUUUUCUCAAUACUAAAGCAAAAAAUCUGACGAAACAAUAUGGAAUAUCAUGGAGAAGCGUAACUUAGAAGCUUUCAAGCUAUAUUUUCAUUUAAUUGCAAAGGAAUGCAAGUAGCGGCUCAGUGUCUGUAUAUUUACUAAGAAACAACGAGAUGAUCGAAACGUGCUAUUGUUGUUGUCCAACUUUAAUUUCGUGGCUGCAGUCAACUGCUUGCUUGCCUGCUGAAUUCAGUGUGUUUCUUUUUUUCAGUGUUUUUUUCUUGUGUGAAAAGUCGCAUGUUUUGUGAUUAUAAGGGCGCAUGUCUUAAAUCAUAAUUAUUGGUUGGCUAUUGCAAAUCUAAAGGAAGACGUGUGGAUACUACUGUUAGCUGGUGGCUGGAGUUUGUUUAAUCUUUGCGAACGCCGGCAUUAUCAAGGAAGAGCAAACAAAAAAAUGUAAUUUCAAUUUCAUAAAUAAAUGGAAAUUUUCUAAUAUAAAAUAAAAAUUAAUGCUGACACUA
Molecule: long non-coding RNA, 630 nt
Organism: Zeugodacus cucurbitae (melon fly)
Lineage: Eukaryota; Metazoa; Arthropoda; Insecta; Diptera; Tephritidae
Exons: 4
Source: RefSeq, a predicted model, not a curated record